AUGGACCCCCAUACACUCCGGUUCCUCCGCACCCACCUGACAGCUGCCCGCGACGUUUUGUUAGCC
This 66-nucleotide small RNA is filed under the name Xanthomonas campestris. RNAcentral describes it as "sX9 sRNA". It matches the Rfam family "Xanthomonas sRNA sX9". Lineage: Bacteria; Pseudomonadati; Pseudomonadota; Gammaproteobacteria; Lysobacterales; Lysobacteraceae. The record is from RNAcentral.